AGUGAACGCUGGCGGUAGGCCUAACACAUGCAAGUCGAACGGCAGCACAGUAAGAGCUUGCUCUUACGGGUGGCGAGUGGCGGACGGGUGAGGAAUACAUCGGAAUCUACUUUUUCGUGGGGGAUAACGUAGGGAAACUUACGCUAAUACCGCAUACGACCUACGGGUGAAAGCAGGGGAUCUUCGGACCUUGCGCGAUUGAAUGAGCCGAUGUCGGAUUAGCUAGUUGGCGGGGUAAUGGCCCACCAAGGCGAUGAUCCGUAGCUGGUCUGAGAGGGUGACCGGCCACAGUGGGACUGAGAUACGGCCCAGACUCCUACGGGAGGCAGCAGUGGGGAAUAUUGCACAAUGGGCGGAAGCCUGAUGAAGAAACGCCGCGUGCGGGAUGACGGCCUUCGGGUUGUAAACCGCUUUCGCCUGUGACGAAGCGUGAGUGACGGUAAUGGGUAAAGAAGCACCGGCUAACUACGUG
RNAcentral lists this ribosomal RNA (472 nucleotides) under uncultured bacterium. Its description in RNAcentral is "partial 16S ribosomal RNA". It matches the Rfam family "Bacterial small subunit ribosomal RNA", at positions 29 to 507 of the family's 1533-position model. The record is from RNAcentral.